GCAGUCGAGCGGACAGAAGGGAGCUUGCUCCCGGAUGUAGCGGCGGACGGGUGAGUAACACGUGGGUAACCUGCCUGUAAGACUGGGAUAACUCCGGGAAACCGGAGCUAAUACCGGAUAGUUCCUUGAACCGCAUGGUUCAAGGAUGAAAGACGGUUUCGGCUGUCACUUACAGAUGGACCCGCGGCGCAUUAGCUAGUUGGUGAGGUAACGGCUCACCAAGGCGACGAUGCGUAGCCGACCUGAGAGGGUGAUCGGCCACACUGGGACUGAGACACGGCCCAGACUCCUACGGGAGGCAGCAGUAGGGAAUCUUCCGCAAUGGACGAAAGUCUGACGGAGCAACGCCGCGUGAGUGAUGAAGGUUUUCGGAUCGUAAAGCUCUGUUGUUAGGGAAGAACAAGUGCAAGAGUAACUGCUUGCACCUUGACGGUACCUAACCAGAAAGCCACGGCUAACUACGUGCCAGCAGCCGCGGUAAUACG
RNAcentral lists this ribosomal RNA (485 nucleotides) under Bacillus aerius. Its description in RNAcentral is "bacterial SSU rRNA". It matches the Rfam family "Bacterial small subunit ribosomal RNA", at positions 57 to 527 of the family's 1533-position model. The record is from RNAcentral. Lineage: Bacteria; Bacillati; Bacillota; Bacilli; Caryophanales; Bacillaceae.